ACUAUUUUGGCAGAAAUAUGCAAUAAAUUUAGAAUUUAUUUAUGUAAUUAUAUUUACAGAUAGUA
Molecule: transfer RNA, 65 nt
Filed under: unidentified
Description: Bochrus foveatus tRNA-Leu
Source: RNAcentral